Molecule: long non-coding RNA, 171 nt
Organism: Oreochromis aureus
Lineage: Eukaryota; Metazoa; Chordata; Actinopteri; Cichliformes; Cichlidae
Exons: 3
Source: RefSeq, a predicted model, not a curated record
UUAACAUUGAGUUUCCCCACACAUGUUUACAGACGAGUUAAAGAGCAAGAGAAGAAGAGACUGAUUCAUAAAUGUCUUUGUUUCUGCUCUAACCUUACCCAAACAAUGCUGCUCUACAACUCUACACUACCAGCCACAAAGACAACAGCUGGAGAAACAUCUGUCUACCUC